AUACAUGCAUGUACUAAGCCUUCGAUUGGCCCCUAGGCCAUUGAUUGACUAGUGAGUCACCACCGGUGCUCAGGAUGCCAAUCACUAGCAUGGUUUGUCGAGGCGAAAAUAGGGAUGCAUUCAUGGACAGGCAACUGUGGGUGUCUCUGGAUUCACCUCAUGAACAAGGACUUAUCAUCUACCAUAUGGUUGAAAGGGCAU
This 201-nucleotide long non-coding RNA is filed under the name Elaeis guineensis (African oil palm). RNAcentral's name for it is "long non-coding RNA (EGUI_LNC005812)". The record is from RNAcentral. Lineage: Eukaryota; Viridiplantae; Streptophyta; Magnoliopsida; Arecales; Arecaceae.